This 801-nucleotide ribosomal RNA is filed under the name uncultured bacterium. RNAcentral's name for it is "bacterial SSU rRNA". It matches the Rfam family "Bacterial small subunit ribosomal RNA", at positions 8 to 796 of the family's 1533-position model. The record is from RNAcentral.
AGAGUUUGAUCCUGGCUCAGGACGAACGCUGGCGGCGCGCUUAACACAUGCAAGUCGAGCGAGAACCAGCCCUUCGGGGCUGGGGAAAGCGGCGAACGGGUGAGUAACACGUGGGUAAUCUGCCCUCGGCACUGGGAUAGCCCGGGGAAACCCGGAUUAAUACCGGAUAGCCUGUCGAGCCCUUGGGCCCGACAGAAAAGGUGGCUUCGGCUUCCGGCUGAGGAUGAGCCCGCGGCGGAUUAGCUUGUUGGUGGGGUAAUGGCCCACCAAGGCGACGAUCCGUAGCUGGUCUGAGAGGACGAUCAGCCACACUGGGACUGAGACACGGUCCAGACACCUACGGGUGGCAGCAGUCGAGAAUUUUUCACAAUGGGGGCAACCCUGAUGGAGCGACGCCGCGUGGAGGAUGAAGGGAUUCGUCUUGUAAACUCCUGUCACUGGGGAAAAAAGUUCCGAUUCUAAUAAACUCGGAAUUGAUGUUACCCAGAGAGGAAGAGACGGCUAACUCUGUGCCAGCAGCCGCGGUAAUACAGAGGUCUCAAGCGUUGUUCGGAUUUACUGGGCGUAAAGGGUGCGUAGGAGGUUUUCUAAGUCAAAUGUGAAAUCCCACAGCUCAACUGUGGAACUGCAUUUGAUACUGGAGAGCUGGAGGGUCGGAGAGGUUGCUGGAAUUCUCGGUGUAGCGGUGAAAUGCGUAGAGAUCGAGAGGAACACCAAUGGCGAAAGCAAGCAACUGGAAGAACCCUGACUCUGAGGCACGAAAGCUAGGGGAGCAAACGGGAUUAGAUACCCCCGUAGUCC